AAGGCCGGCCCUAAGCCAUGGCGAGGAGUGCAGCCGCCUAGGGCCCAGCAUGUCCAGGGGCCCACCAUACUCUCUGUGCACAUGUAUUGAUACAUUUGAAGGGAAAAAAUAAACUAAGGUAGCACUCGCAGCCCAUUAAGGACGGUGGAGCCAGCCAUGAGAGUUAAUCCUAAUUGCUUCGUUUUGUGUGAGACAGCGCCGCCGGUUUGUUCUUCUUCCCGUCCAAUCUUCUCCCUCUCCCAAUUAAUUGCACCAAGUUCCCAGGAGUUGGGCCCCAAGCGACGCUCAUGAAUAGAUUUUCAGUUAUAUCAUCUCCUUAAUUUAUUUUCCAGUGAGUUUUAUACUAGUAGUAGAUCGAAUAGUAGAUAGGUUCUUCUGUAAGUACCCACGGCGACAAGGCCCUCGUGGUGACCUCCUUGGCACCGGCGACGAGCUGAAGAUGCACCACAUUCGGCUUGCCGCUAAGGCGUUGACACCAGCACCGGUCCACAGGUAAAUUGUUCAUCCUAUGGAUUGUCCUUCUUUUCUUGUUUAUUGCGAAUUAUGUGACGAUUCUCUUGCAUGAAAUUCUCACACAAAGUAAUUGUUUCAUGUUAAAGAUGAUCGACCAUCACCACAUUACCACAUGACGAUGACGAUUAGAUGUUGCUGGGAUUUAUCUUGUGACAUUUCUCUACUGUUCUUGUAUGGAAGGUGUUUGUGUUUUUGUUCGAAUUUCAAAUUGCUACUUCUAGAUAGAUCAUAAAAUAUUUGUUUAAAAUUACUGUUGUGUCAUAUGGAUAGUUUGAACGGACUUGCGGCUGCGACGUGCAUCAGCGAAGCGAACAUGAAGACGUAAGGUGUGACCGUAGGGCCCAUUGUACCAUCUUCGCACUAGGGCCUCCGAGAUGCUAGGGCCGGCCCUGG
Molecule: long non-coding RNA, 906 nt
Filed under: Triticum aestivum (bread wheat)
Lineage: Eukaryota; Viridiplantae; Streptophyta; Magnoliopsida; Poales; Poaceae
Description: long non-coding RNA (TAES_LNC025036)
Source: RNAcentral